Molecule: long non-coding RNA, 1019 nt
Filed under: Orbicella faveolata
Lineage: Eukaryota; Metazoa; Cnidaria; Anthozoa; Scleractinia; Merulinidae
Description: uncharacterized LOC110061399, transcript variant X1
Source: RNAcentral
AGUUUUGCCCCAAAUUUGACACGGUUUUCAUAAAUUCAGACAUAUAUAUAUAGCUGUACUUUAUCCUUCUGAUCACGUAGACACACGAAUCAGGAUUUACCCCUGUUUUUAUUUCGGCCCACAUGUUAGUGAGAAGUUCACAUGGCACGUAAAAACCGAUUGAUCACGACUUGCUACGAGACAUCCCACGUAAAAAAAUACACCAUUUGCUUUACGACAGCUUUGCGUGUUUGCGAAAAGUGUUAUUAAUUCAAGAACUUCUUUAAAAAAACUGGUACAAGAAAAGCACAUAAUGUCUUUUAAAUCAGAAAACGUGGUGUAAACCGAAAAUUGGCUCCAAAUUUGCCUGAGGGAGUCUGGAAACAGACAAAAACUUGGUUGCCAUAGAGAUCUCGAAUCACUUGAAAUAAGCUUGGGAAAAUUCACAAAUUGUGGUCAAAUUGUUUAAAACAUGAUGCUAAACUAGAAUAUCUGGUGUGGAAAACAAAAAUCAUUUAUUGAGGAAAAUCCGACGUCUUCCUCUCGUUUCUGGGGACACUGACGGGGUUAUCAUGCCCUGAUUGUUAAUUAUGCAACUUGUUUGACUGAAAACUAAUACGAAACUAUGAUAUCAACCACAUUACACUUAUAAGCAUUUUAAACAAAAAUGUUGAAGAUUAACGAAAAAAAUGGUGCAGUUGUUCAAGUUACCGUCGACCAUAACAUGUUUUCGCUUUCCUCACUAGGGGGGCGCUAAUACAUCGUUACAACAUCCCCUACAACAUUGCACAGCUCUUAGCCAUCAGGUUCCUAUUAAAGGGUAAACUCGACAGCCAUGACAGGGACAUUCGUGGACUUGGGAAAGGAAUAAAAAGGUUCAUAUUGAAGCGUAAGUCCAUCAACCACUACAGUGGCAUUCAUAGCCUCGGAAGAGGAACAAAAAGGUAUGUCUACGCAUUACUAACCAAGAAAGAAGACAAAUUUUCUGGAGUGAAGUCAAGAUAUAGCCCGAGAGCUGUUUAUAUUUGUAAAAAUUUUCA